RNAcentral lists this ribosomal RNA (465 nucleotides) under Vreelandella stevensii. RNAcentral's name for it is "partial 16S ribosomal RNA". It matches the Rfam family "Bacterial small subunit ribosomal RNA", at positions 338 to 795 of the family's 1533-position model. The record is from RNAcentral. Lineage: Bacteria; Pseudomonadati; Pseudomonadota; Gammaproteobacteria; Oceanospirillales; Halomonadaceae.
CCUACGGGUGGCUGCAGUGGGGAAUAUUGGACAAUGGGGGGAACCCUGAUCCAGCCAUGCCGCGUGUGUGAAGAAGGCCCUCGGGUUGUAAAGCACUUUCAGUGAGGAAGAACGCCUGGUGGUUAAUACCCAUCAGGAAAGACAUCACUCACAGAAGAAGCACCGGCUAACUCCGUGCCAGCAGCCGCGGUAAUACGGAGGGUGCGAGCGUUAAUCGGAAUUACUGGGCGUAAAGCGCGCGUAGGUGGCUUGAUAAGCCGGUUGUGAAAGCCCCGGGCUCAACCUGGGAACGGCCUCCGGAACUGUCAAGCUAGAGUGCAGGAGAGGAAGGUAGAAUUCCCGGUGUAGCGGUGAAAUGCGUAGAGAUCGGGAGGAAUACCAGUGGCGAAGGCGGCCUUCUGGACUGACACUGACACUGAGGUGCGAAAGCGUGGGUAGCAAACAGGAUUAGAUACCCCAGUAGUC